UGGGGAAUAUUGCACAAUGGAGGGAACUCUGAUGCAGCGACGCCGCGUGAACGAAGAAGGCUUUCGAGUCGUAAAGUUCUUUUAUAUGGGAAGAUAAUGACGGUACCAUAAGAAGAAGCCCCGGCUAACUACGUGCCAGCAGCCGCGGUAAUACGUAGGGGGCUAGCGUUGUCCGGAAUCACUUGGCGUAAAGGGUUCGCAGGCGGAAAUGCAAGUCAGGUGUAAAAGGCAGUAGCUUAACUACUGUAAGCAUUUGAAACUGCAUAUCUUGAGAAGAGUAGAGGUAAGUGGAAUUUUUAGUGUAGCGGUGAAAUGCGUAGAUAUUAAAAAGAAUACCGGUGGCGAAGGCGACUUACUGGGCUCAUUCUGACGCUGAGGAACGAAAGCGUGGGUAGCAAGCAGG
RNAcentral lists this ribosomal RNA (403 nucleotides) under bacterium. RNAcentral describes it as "partial 16S ribosomal RNA". It matches the Rfam family "Bacterial small subunit ribosomal RNA", at positions 355 to 776 of the family's 1533-position model. The record is from RNAcentral.